RNAcentral lists this ribosomal RNA (449 nucleotides) under uncultured bacterium. RNAcentral describes it as "partial 16S ribosomal RNA". It matches the Rfam family "Bacterial small subunit ribosomal RNA", at positions 29 to 523 of the family's 1533-position model. The record is from RNAcentral.
AACGAACGCUGGCGACAUGCCUAACACAUGCAAGUCGAACGAGAUCUUCGGGUCUAGUGGCGCACGGGUGCGUAACGCGUGGGAAUCUGCCCUUUGGUUCGGAAUAACGGUUGGAAACGACUGCUAAUACCGGAUGAUGACGAAAGUCCAAAGAUUUAUCGCCAGAGGAUGAGCCCGCGUAGGAUUAGCUAGUUGGUGUGGUAAAGGCGCACCAAGGCGACGAUCCUUAGCUGGUCUGAGAGGAUGAUCAGCCACACUGGGACUGAGACACGGCCCAGACUCCUACGGGAGGCAGCAGUGGGGAAUAUUGGACAAUGGGCGAAAGCCUGAUCCAGCAAUGCCGCGUGAGUGAUGAAGGCCUUAGGGUUGUAAAGCUCUUUUACCCGGGAUGAUAAUGACAGUACCGGGAGAAUAAGCUCCGGCGAACUCCGUGCCAGCAGCCGCCGUAA